This 273-nucleotide ribosomal RNA is filed under the name uncultured soil bacterium. Its description in RNAcentral is "partial 16S ribosomal RNA". It matches the Rfam family "Bacterial small subunit ribosomal RNA", at positions 26 to 285 of the family's 1533-position model. The record is from RNAcentral.
AGAAUCAACGCUGGCGGCGUGCCUCAGACAUGCAAGUCGAACGCGAAAGCCCCCUUCGGGGGCAAGUAGAGUGGCGCACGGGUGAGUAACACGUAGGUAAUCUACCUUUGGAUGGGGAACCCUAACAACCGGAAACGGUUGCUAAUACCGCAUAAUGCAGCGGCACCUAAUGGUGACAGUUGUUAAAGCGGGGAUCGAAAGACCUUCGCGUCUGAAGAGGAGCCUGCGCGGAUUAGCUAGUUGGUAGGUAACGCCUACAGGCUACGAUCCGUA